Molecule: transfer RNA, 105 nt
Filed under: Crossandra greenstockii
Lineage: Eukaryota; Viridiplantae; Streptophyta; Magnoliopsida; Lamiales; Acanthaceae
Description: partial tRNA-His
Source: RNAcentral
AUGAUUCAAUCUUUUGUCUUACAAUUUUUAAAAAAUCCAAAUUUCAAAAUCGACUAAAAGAAAUAUUGUCAAGUAAAUUCAAAGUUUUUAAAAGUAGAAAACAUA